CCUCAUCGUCUGACUCAUCUGAUUUCUUAUCAGGUUGUAGGGAGCUCAAGUCUACCUUAGGCAUGAGGCAGUGAAGUUGCUUUUUGUAUUUUGCGAACCCGAGCUAGAAUGCAUCCGCAUUAGCAUCAGCGAGCUCAUCCUCGUACUCCUUAGAAUCAUGAAACUCGGCUAGUGCCUAAGAAGUAGCUUCUUGGAUCUGAGUUUCUACCGCUGUCAAUUUUUUUUGAAGUUCGAUGGUGGUCUUCUCGGCCUCCUUGGCAGCCCUCUCAGCCUUCAGUGCCCUUUCCUUCUUCUCGAUAAGGGUGCUCUCGGCUGACUCCAUCUCCUUCUGAUAGUCGACCUUCAGCCUCUCAAACUCCUCCUUCUCUUUCCUCUACUGGGUCACCGAAUUUGCCAACUCGGCCUCCAGUAGAGAUAUCUUCUCUCUGCUCUUCUCUCUCGCUCCUCGAUGGCUCGGAGGAGUUCAUCAGAAACCUCGGCCCGUGCAUGAGAAGUUGGGCCUGAUCCUCUAAGUUGUGGUUGACCUGAGCAUACUUGAUUAACCCUUUCGACAACAUAGUAAUGCCGUGGAUCAUUUGCAAAACAAAAAAAAAUGAUAAAGUCAUCUACUCAGCCAAAAAUAAUUCGGAAAGAAGCCGGAAAAGGAAAGGUUGGACACUUAUCCCGAUCAACGACAUAUAAGCAUCUGACUGAAUCUCCAAGAUCGAGCACACUUUCUUGACUUCCCGGUCCACAAGAAGCAUGACCAUUCUCGCC
Molecule: long non-coding RNA, 756 nt
Filed under: Elaeis guineensis (African oil palm)
Lineage: Eukaryota; Viridiplantae; Streptophyta; Magnoliopsida; Arecales; Arecaceae
Description: long non-coding RNA (EGUI_LNC041265)
Source: RNAcentral